GCAUAUCAAUAAGCGGAGGAAAAGAAACCAACAGGGAUUGCCCUAGUAACGGCGAGUGAAGCGGCAACAGCUCAAAUUUGAAAUCUGGCGCAAGCCCGAGUUGUAAUUUGUAGAGGAUGCUUCUGGGCAGCGGCCGGUCUAAGUUCCUUGGAACAGGACGUCAUAGAGGGUGAGAAUCCCGUAUGCGACCGGCUUGCACCCGUCACGUAGCUCCUUCGACGAGUCGAGUUGUUUGGGAAUGCAGCUCUAAAUGGGAGGUAAAUUUCUUCUAAAGCUAAAUACCGGCCAGAGACCGAUAGCGCACAAGUAGAGUGAUCGAAAGAUGAAAAGCACUUUGGAAAGAGAGUUAAAAAGCACGUGAAAUUGUUGAAAGGGAAGCGCAUGCAACCAGACUUGUCGGCGGUGUUCCGCCGGUCUUCUGACCGGUCUACUCGCCGCCGGCAGGCCAGCAUCACUUGGGAGCGCCGGAUAAAGGCGUGGAGAAUGUAGCCCCUCGGGGUGUUAUAGCUCCGCGUACAAUACGGCGCCUCCCGAGUGAGGUCCGCGCUUCGGCUAGGAUGCUGGCGUAAUGGUUGCCUGCGGCCCGUCUUGAAACACGGACC
This 602-nucleotide ribosomal RNA is filed under the name uncultured fungus. RNAcentral's name for it is "LSU rRNA". It matches the Rfam family "Eukaryotic large subunit ribosomal RNA", at positions 38 to 667 of the family's 3401-position model. Lineage: Eukaryota; Fungi. The record is from RNAcentral.